Molecule: long non-coding RNA, 382 nt
Organism: Artibeus jamaicensis (Jamaican fruit-eating bat)
Lineage: Eukaryota; Metazoa; Chordata; Mammalia; Chiroptera; Phyllostomidae
Exons: 3
Source: RefSeq, a predicted model, not a curated record
CUGAAAAACUCACUCCAAAGAUCCAUUACCAGACUCUCAGGCCAAACUGCCUGAGUUCCAAUCCUGUGAAUGAACCUCUCUGAACACGCAACAUGAAGCUCUACUGCUGCCCACAGAUGACUUCAGAAACAUGGUUGAAUAAUUCUUAAGUGUGCCUAUACCCCAGUGGCACCUGCAGUUCUAAUUUUCAGCUGACAGCUUCUUAACUCUGCAACACAACCUCACAGGAAUCAUAAUUAUAUUUGUUUUAACAAGAAAAUAUAUUCAGAAGAAGAGCUAAAAAUUUGAAAAUGAUCUCAAUAUUAAAAAAAUAAAGAAGACAUAAACCAUUUGAUAAAGUUAAAAACCGGAGUACAUACAUCAGAAUGUUAAUGUUGUAUCA